UACGUAGGGGGCAAGCGUUGUCCGGAUUUAUUGGGCGUAAAGAGCGUGUAGGCGGCUUGGUAGGUCCGCUGUGAAAACUCGAGGCUCAACCUCGAGAUGUCGGCGGAAACCACUUGGCUAGAGUCCGGAAGAGGAGAGUGGAAGUGCCCGGUGGGAGCGGUGAAAUGCGUAGAGAUCGGGCGGAACACCAGCGGCGAAGGCGGCAUCCUGG
RNAcentral lists this ribosomal RNA (211 nucleotides) under uncultured bacterium. RNAcentral's name for it is "partial 16S ribosomal RNA". It matches the Rfam family "Bacterial small subunit ribosomal RNA", at positions 524 to 732 of the family's 1533-position model. The record is from RNAcentral.